AAAUAGUACGUUGAAGAGUGUAGGUAUAGAGACUAUAGGUAAAUCCGUAGACUUUGCUGAAACUCGAUAGUACCGCAAACCUUCGGGGGAGUGGAUAAUGCGCCUAAUCAGGCUUCCGAGAAAAUCUUCUAAGCUUCAGAUGUAUGCGGCUCGUACCGUAAACCGACACAGGUAGUCGAGGAGAGUAUCCUAAGGCGCUCGAGUGAAUCAUGGUUAAGGAACUCGGCAAAUUGGCCUCGUAACUUCGGGAAAAGAGGCGCCUACCCUUCGGGGAGGCCGCAGUGAAUUGGCCCAGGCAACUGUUUAACAAAAACACAGGGCUAUGCCAAAUCGAAAGAUGAUGUAUAUGGCCUGACACCUGCCCGGUGCCGGAAGGUUAAGGAAGCUUGUCAUUCAGUAAUGGAGAAGCUUGCGACUGAAGCCCCGGUAAACGGCGGCCGUAACAAUAACGGUCCUAAGGUAGCGAAAUUCCUUGUCGGGUAAGUUCCGACCUGCACGAAUGGUGUAAUGAUCUGGGCACUGUCUCAACCAUGAGCUCGGUGAAAUCGUAGUAUCGGUGAAGAUGCCGAUUACCCGCACCGGGACGGAAAGACCCCGUGCACCUUCACUAUAGCUUUGCAUUGACUUUGGGUAAAUGAUGUGUAGGAUAGGUGGGAGACUACGAAGCGGGUGCGCUAGCAUCUGUGGAGUCGUCCUUGAAAUACCACCCUUCAUUUAUCUAGAGCCUAAUCCCCUUCGGGGUGACAGUGCAUGGUGGGUAGUUUGACUGGGGUGGUCGCCUCCCAAAGAGUAACGGAGGCUUACAAAGGUACCCUCAGUACGGUUGGUAAUCGUACGUAGAAUGUAAUAGUAUAAGGGUGCUUGACUGCAAGACUCACAAGUCGAGCAGGUACGAAAGUAGGUUAUAGUGAUCCGGUGGUUCCGCAUGGAAGGGCCAUCGCUCAUAGGAUAAUAGGUACGCCGGGAUAACAGGCUGAUCUCCCCCAAGAGCUCACAUCGACGGGGAGGUUUGGCACCUCGAUGUCGGCUCGUCACAUCCUGGGGCUGGAGAAGGUCCCAAGGGUUCGGCUGUUCGCCGAUUAAAGUGGCACGCGAGCUGGGUUCAGAACGUCGCAAGACAGUUCGGUCCCUAUCUGGUGCGGGCGUUAGAAAAUUGAGAAGAUCUGUCUCUAGUACGAGAGGACCGAGACGGACUGACCUCUGGUGUAUCUGUUGUGGCGCCAGCUGCAUUGCAGAGUAGCUAUGUCGGGAAGGGAUAAGCGCUGAAAGCAUCUAAGCACGAAACCCACUUCAAGAUGAGUUUUCUUUUAAGAGCCGUUAUAGAUGAUGACGUUGAUAGGCUACAGAUGUAAAGCUAGUAAUAGCAAAGUCGAGUAGUACUAAUUGCUCGUUAGCUUUCAGCAA
This 1404-nucleotide ribosomal RNA is filed under the name metagenome. Its description in RNAcentral is "bacterial LSU rRNA". It matches the Rfam family "Bacterial large subunit ribosomal RNA", at positions 1501 to 2925 of the family's 2925-position model. The record is from RNAcentral.